UCAGAUUGAACGCUGGCGGCAUGCCUUACACAUGCAAGUCGAACGGCAGCACGGGAGCUUGCUCCUGGUGGCGAGUGGCGAACGGGUGAGUAAUACAUCGGAACGUACCCUGAAGUGGGGGAUAACGUAGCGAAAGUUACGCUAAUACCGCAUAUUCUGUGAGCAGGAAAGAGGGGGGAUCGCAAGACCUCUUGCUUUAGGAGCGGCCGAUGUCGGAUUAGCUAGUUGGUGAGGUAAAGGCUCACCAAGGCGACGAUCCGUAGCGGGUCUGAGAGGAUGAUCCGCCACACUGGGACUGAGACACGGCCCAGACUCCUACGGGAGGCAGCAGUGGGGAAUUUUGGACAAUGGGCGCAAGCCUGAUCCAGCCAUGCCGCGUGAGUGAAGAAGGCCUUCGGGUUGUAAAGCUCUUUCGGUGGGGAAGAAAUUGCUUCGGCUAAUACCUGGAGUAGAUGACGGUACCCGCAUAAGAAGCACCGGCUAACUACGUG
RNAcentral lists this ribosomal RNA (491 nucleotides) under uncultured bacterium. RNAcentral describes it as "bacterial SSU rRNA". It matches the Rfam family "Bacterial small subunit ribosomal RNA", at positions 24 to 507 of the family's 1533-position model. The record is from RNAcentral.